UAGGACGUUGAUAGGUUGGAUGUGGAAGCAUAGUGAUAUGUGAAGCUGACCAAUACUAAUUGCUCGUGAGGCUUGACUAU
This 80-nucleotide ribosomal RNA is filed under the name Acinetobacter baumannii. RNAcentral describes it as "partial 23S ribosomal RNA". It matches the Rfam family "Bacterial large subunit ribosomal RNA", at positions 2846 to 2925 of the family's 2925-position model. Lineage: Bacteria; Pseudomonadati; Pseudomonadota; Gammaproteobacteria; Moraxellales; Moraxellaceae. The record is from RNAcentral. RNAcentral also lists the same sequence under 1 other name.